GCUGCUAUGCUUAAUCAGGCUUUGAUAUCAUGUUAGAGACCAACAGCAUCUUGGUAUCACCAUGGAUCUGAUACCAAUUGUUGAAGGACCACCUUUAUCCAUGUGGACCUGAGAAAAACUCGUGAUGCAUCUUUCUCAAGGACAGCAACCAUCCCUAGAUCCGGGCUUGAUUCUUGAUACCACAUGCCCCCUUCUAGGGAAAGGGGGCACGCGUGAUGCCUUAGGAGUUGCAUGCAAACUUGAGAGAGAGGAAGAGAGAAAGACAGCUAGAGUUUUCAGGAGAAAA
RNAcentral lists this long non-coding RNA (286 nucleotides) under Elaeis guineensis (African oil palm). Its description in RNAcentral is "long non-coding RNA (EGUI_LNC020724)". The record is from RNAcentral. Lineage: Eukaryota; Viridiplantae; Streptophyta; Magnoliopsida; Arecales; Arecaceae.